CUCAAUAUUGACUAGUUGUGCUUCAUCUGGUGGUAUGGAAUUCGGCUUUGGUCGAGGAGGAUCUUCACUGUCGCUACGUACCCUUUUUGAUCAUUCACACUUUCACAAUUCCACAAAAGUGUAUCAUACCUUUCACGAAGUAAUUCAGCAUCAACUCUAUCAUUUGGUACUUGUAAUCCAUCACUCAAAUACUCGGCAUAAGUGGCAACAAGAACACCAUAAUCCCUAUAAUUGUAAAAAUCAGAUGAUACAUAUCUAAUUAAUAUAAGUGUUACAGAAUUUAUGAAAAUAAAUCAUGAUAAGCACUUACAAGGUACCACU
Molecule: long non-coding RNA, 321 nt
Filed under: Capsicum annuum
Lineage: Eukaryota; Viridiplantae; Streptophyta; Magnoliopsida; Solanales; Solanaceae
Description: long non-coding RNA (CANN_LNC001610)
Source: RNAcentral